GUGUUUGACGGGCUGGAGCAAGAGGGUGCCAAUGAUGCUGAUAUCGUUGAGCUGAAAUGCUUUUGCUUUCUACAAAGAAUAGAGAAAAAGGAAGAAAGAGGAUGAUCUAGAGUAGAUUAUGAUGUGGUGGUGGUAGUUUAACUAUUUACCGAUGAUCGUUAAUGAUGUCGUAGAGGAGGUAGAUAGAAAGAUUAGAUUGCAACAAAAAUUAAGUCGAUUGAUCUAAUUAAACAUUUUUAAACUAUAUGAGAUAUAUGAUCAAGAAGGCAAAGUUGAGAGGGUAGGAGAUAAUUUUCUCUAGAAUUAAAAUGAUAUAUAAAUUCAA
RNAcentral lists this long non-coding RNA (325 nucleotides) under Phoenix dactylifera (date palm). RNAcentral describes it as "long non-coding RNA (PDAC_LNC006179)". The record is from RNAcentral. Lineage: Eukaryota; Viridiplantae; Streptophyta; Magnoliopsida; Arecales; Arecaceae.